UCCGUAGGCGGUGUGGCAAGUCGGGAGUGAAAUCUCUGGGCUUAACCCAGAGGCUGCUUCCGAAACUGCCGUGCUAGAGUGUGAGAGAGGCGAGUGGAAUUGCGGGUGUAGCGGUGAAACGCGUAGAUAUCCGCAGGAACAUCCGAGGCGAAAGCGGCUCGCUGGAUCACAACUGACGCUGAGGGACGAAAGCUAGGGGAGCAAACAGGAUUAGAUACCCUGGUAGUCCUAGCCCUAAACCAUCAGGACUUGGGGUUUGCCCUGUACGGGGCAAGUCCCGUAGCUAACGCGUUAAGUCCUGCGCCUGGGGAGUACGGUCGCAAGACUGAA
This 330-nucleotide ribosomal RNA is filed under the name uncultured bacterium. RNAcentral describes it as "bacterial SSU rRNA". It matches the Rfam family "Bacterial small subunit ribosomal RNA", at positions 568 to 898 of the family's 1533-position model. The record is from RNAcentral.